ACUUAGGUCUUGGUAUUGGGUACCACAAUUUUUUUUAUUAACGAUCUUUGUUGCCAAAAAGCCGAGCGUCACAUGUUUGAUUGCAGAUUAAACAUAAUGGCUGUGCUCAGAGGGCGCAAAAUGUGGAAAUCGAACGAGACAUUGAACGUGUUUUGUCCUGAAAAAUUUUUGAGGAUUAUUGAUGCAAUCAACCGACUUUGGCUGGGUUCGGGGAGACGUUAUUAGCGCUGAAAGUAUCAUUCUAUUCUUGUUGCUCAGUGAAUGUCGAAGAAAGAUAGAGCACGCUCACAGCGCCAAAAGCGUGCUCUCGGAACCCAAUCUUUGUAUUCCAAGAUAAUGGUUAACAAUGAUUUGUUUUGCUGUAUUUGCCGAUUUUGUAUUUCAAGAUAAUUUAUUAGUGCUUGAUGGUUAUAUUGGCCUCACGAAAGUUAUUGGGAACCAAAAAUUAAUAUUCUUAUUUCUGCCAGACUUUCGUUUCAUGCAAAAAUGUGUUGAAUGAGCAUAAUUUUUAUCAACGUGCGAGUGACCUGACUCAUAUAUCUGGACACUUAAGGCGUGGAUCCAAUGGAGAUUUGUAAUCAAAACUGAAAUUGCCUCCUAUGUCUAUAAUGGCAGUGUUAUAACAACGUAAUGUAACAAAAAAAAAAUGCCCAUAGCAUAAACUCACUUUUGAGUGACUGUAAUUUUUAUACAAUUUCAAUAUAGGAAGUUCAUUAUUUAUUAAUAGAUAUUCACACAGCAUUAAAAAAUAACUUUUAUAGCUGUUAAUUUGGCUGCAAUUAUUCUAUUAUUAUCAAGAGAAUCUUUUUAAAAAAGUAAAACUUUUCUGCAAUUGAAUAUAUUGGUAUUCACCACUAUUGGAUUCUAGGGAAAGAUUUGGGAUUAAAAUUCCCCCUUUCAAAUUAAAAAAAAUUAGUCUUACUAGACCGAUUUAAAAAAUUUAAGUAAAAUGAUACAGGCUGAUUUACGCAGGUGUCUGUGGAUCAAAUUCUUAUGCAUAGGAUUCACUGUGUUCAAACUGUCCAAUGUCUAAUAUACAAUGUUCAGUAAACAAUUUUAUUACCCCUCUCCCUCCAUUAUCAAGGAUUCACUAAUGGUGUUCAUGGUCAAUAGCUACAUAGUAAUACGUAUGAUUAAAUUUUAAGUGCAAAUACGAACAGGUUUUAAUUUGAUUUCUUGUUGUAAUCAUUAAGUUGGUUUAAUUUGCACUAUUGUACGGAUAUCUAUCAGAACUGUAACUCACAAAACUUUACACAAAAACUUAUUAUCAAUUUAAAAUGGUUUUUUAUUAAAAUUGAAUUAUAUAACAUGUUAGUUUUUAUAAAAGUAAUACAUUACUAUUACUUUUACUUUUUGUAAAAAGUAACUCGUUACCAUUACUUCUCUGGUGAAAAAUUUUCACAGGAUUUUUUAUACAAUCUCAGAAUAGUUUAGAAUUUACAUAUAUAAAAAUUUUAAGCAGAUUCUCAGUAUUUCUGAAAUGUCCCAAUAUUUGUGUAAAAAUUCUGAAAAAUUUUUUAUUAGGAUUGUUACUAAUGUAAAAAAUAACGUAUUAUCACCAUUACCGUUACUUAUAGUAAAUUCAGUCGCCUUACACUGGCACUGAACUCAUGUUGUACUAAACCGUACGAAUGCAACAUUAAAUCCAAAAUAAAGGAACA
Molecule: long non-coding RNA, 1661 nt
Filed under: Monomorium pharaonis (pharaoh ant)
Lineage: Eukaryota; Metazoa; Arthropoda; Insecta; Hymenoptera; Formicidae
Description: uncharacterized LOC114254602, transcript variant X2
Source: RNAcentral